CUGUGUGCAUUCAGACGACACAUCAGGACACGAGCCAGAUUAGUACCAUCACAAGUUGGUUAUGUUUGAAUUGUUCCAUAUAUUUCAAGACACAUAUAGCGUCUUUGCUUUAGAAAAUAAUAGUUUAGAAAUACGUCAUGCAAUGGUAAAUCUGUGUGCAUUCAGACGACACAUCAGGACACGAGCCAGAUUAGUACCAUCACAAGUUGGUUAUGUUUGAAUUGUUCCAUAUAUUUCAAGACACAUAUAGCGUCUUUGCUUUAGAAAAUAAUAGUUUAGAAAUACGUUAUGCAAUGGUAAAUCUGUGUGCAUUCAGACGACACAUCAGGACACGAGCCAGAUUAGUACCAUCACAAGUUGGUUAUGUUUGAAUUGUUCCAUAUAUUUCAAGACACAUAUAGCGUCUUUGCUUUAGAAAAGAAUAGUUUAGAAAUACGUUAUGCAAUGGUAAAUCUGUGUGCAUUCAGACGACACAUCAGGACACGAGCCAGAUUAGUACCAUCACAAGUUGGUUAUGUUUGAAUUGUUCCAUAUAAUUCGAGACGCAUAUAGACGUCUUUGCUUUAGAAAAGAAUAGUUUAGAAAUACGUUAUGCAAUGGUAAAUCUGUGUGCAUUCAGACGACACAUCAGGACACGAGCCAGAUUAGUACCAUCACAAGUUGGUUAUGUUUGAAUUGUUCCAUAUAUUUCAAGACACAUAUGCGUCUUUGCUUUAGAAAAGAAUAGUUUAGAAAUACGUUAUGCAAUGGUAAAUCUGUGUGCAUUCAGACGACACAUCAGGACACGAGCCAGAUUGUUCCAUUACAAUUUUAGUUAACUUAAUCUCGAACUUAUAACUGGAUAAAUAUAAAAACAUAUACACUCAGAACAUUUUAAAUUUACUUUAUGCAAUGGUAAAUCUGUGUGCAUUCAGACGACACAUCAGGACACGAGCCAGAUUAGUACCAUCACAAGUUGGUUAUGUUUGAAUUGUUCCAUAUAUUUCAAGACACAUAUAGCGUCUUUGCUUUAGAAAAUAAUAGUUUAGAAAUACGUUAUGCAAUGGUAAAUCUGUGUGCAUUCAGACGACACAUCAGGACACGAGCCAGAUUGUUCCAUUACAAUUUUAGUUAACUUAAUCUCGAACUUAUAAUUGGAUAAAUAUAAAAACAUAUAUACACUCAGAGCAUUUUAAAUUUACUUUAUGCAAUGGUAAAUCUGUGUGCAUUCAGACGACACAUCAGGACACGAGCCAGAUUGUUCCAUUACAAUUUUAGUUAACUUAAUCUCGAACUUAUAAUUGGAUAAAUAUAAAAACAUAUACACUCAGAGCAUUUUAAAUUUACUUUAUGCAAUGGUAAAUCUGUGUGCAUUCAGACGACACAUCAGGACACGA
Paramuricea clavata is the source of this 1376-nucleotide non-coding RNA. The record is from the annotation of a GenBank genome assembly. NCBI's taxonomy places the organism in Eukaryota, Metazoa, Cnidaria, Anthozoa, Malacalcyonacea, Plexauridae.